CACGGGGGGAGCAAGCGUUGUUCGGAAUCACUGGGCGUAAAGGGCGUGUAGGCGGUCAAGUAAGUGGGAUGUGAAAUGCCCCGGCUCACCCGGGGACCUGCAUCCCAAACUGCUUGGCUCGAGUAUGGGAGAGGAUGAGGGAAUUCCUGGUGUAGCGGUGAAAUGCGUAGAUAUCAGGAGGAACACCGGUGGCGAAAGCGCUCAUCUGGCCCAAUACUGACGCUGAGGCGCGAAAGCUAGGGGAGCAAACGGG
Molecule: ribosomal RNA, 253 nt
Filed under: uncultured bacterium
Lineage: Bacteria
Description: partial 16S ribosomal RNA
Rfam family: Bacterial small subunit ribosomal RNA
Source: RNAcentral